CUAACUUUUUGUAUUUUUAGUAGAGACAGGUUUUCACCAUGUUAGUCAGGCUAGUCUCCAACUCCUGAUCUCGUGAUUCACCUGCCUCAGCCUCCCAAAGUGCAAGGGUUACAGGCAUGAGCCACCAUGCCCAUCCAACUACUUCUUAUGAGUACAUCAGGUUUGAUAUGGUUUUCUACUUUUCCACUGUUGUACAUAAUUUCUAUUCCUGCCCAUUACAGAGUAAAAAAUUAAAAAGGGUACUGGUAACUUUCUAAGCUAGGGAUCCAACAGUUAAAACUCAAAAGACUAGCUUCUUGCUAUUAUUCCAAAGCAACCCCAAACUCCUUGGCUAGAAAUCCUUCAGUCUGGUGUGUAGUUAAUUAGCUAUAACUAAUGAAGCCCUUCAUUUGGUUGCUGGCAGUCAGGAGCAAUAUGAGACGUUCAAGAGUCUAAACAAGGAAAAGGAGGGGUUCCAUUACAACCUAUGUUGUGUCAUUUGCCUGGGAUCUCAAAGGAAAGAAUGAAACCCACAGAAAACAUCAAGACUCGCAAGCCAGGUCAUGUCAUGGGUUACCUGCUCUCCUCCCUGCUUUGCUUCAGGAAGUUACUGCAGACCCCCUCCUGUGCCCUUGGCAUUGAUGGGUGCUCCCAGCAUUGAUUUUGAACUCAUGCUCUGUGCUGAAGACUCUGUGAAGGAUGGAGGAUACAGAAAUGUAAAGAUAACGAUCUCAAAACUGUAGAUUCUCAAUCUAUAUUUAGAACAGCAGAAUAGAAUAGAAAACUCAGAAAUAAAGCUGCACUCCUACAACCAUCUGAUCCUCAACAAGGCUGAGAAAAAAUAAAGAAAAAAGCAAUGGGGAAAGGACUCCUUUUCAAUAAAUGGUUCUGGGAUAACUGGCUUAACAUAUGCAUACAAAUAAAA
Long non-coding RNA from Pan troglodytes (chimpanzee), 904 nucleotides. RefSeq lists it as uncharacterized. The transcript has 3 exons. NCBI's taxonomy places the organism in Eukaryota, Metazoa, Chordata, Mammalia, Primates, Hominidae. The record is from RefSeq and is a predicted model, not a curated record.